GUGCAUCUCCUCGGCAGCCACACCGUGGUGUGAAUAUGGACCCGAGUGUGACACCGGUUCUCUGUAGGUGAUGUGUGGGUUUCAGCACCACGACCCCUUCUCCUGGGUCUGUUCAAUCCACGGGAGGCGGCUCCCCUUCAGCUGUUGCCAGAAAACCGUGGAGGAAACCGAAUAAACAUCAUCUCCAAUAAACAUCUCUAAUGAGGGAGGAGGCCCGAGGAUGGCGGGGUUUGAUUUAUGACUGGAGGAGAAGGUCCACUUCCCACUGCGAAACGGGCAACCUGCUCGCCGCCGUCCAGCUCCGGGGACCUCUGCGCAGAGGAGCCCGGCCCAGGUCUCCCCGAGUGAAGCUCAAAUCACACGCUGGGAGCCCUCGGCGCUGCCCAGCUCCGCGGGCCACAUUCUUUCGUCCUCCGCUCCUCUCUGAGAAACGAACUCCCGGCGCUCAGACUUUGUUUCGGUCCGACCAGCUACACCAUACAACCGCGAGAAAGUUUUGCAGCGUUUCGCCUGCCGCGCGCGCCCGGGUGUUGCCACGAACUCUAGCA
Molecule: long non-coding RNA, 548 nt
Organism: Sorex fumeus (smoky shrew)
Lineage: Eukaryota; Metazoa; Chordata; Mammalia; Eulipotyphla; Soricidae
Exons: 3
Source: RefSeq, a predicted model, not a curated record